This is a long non-coding RNA of Psammomys obesus (fat sand rat), 395 nucleotides long. RefSeq lists it as uncharacterized. The transcript has 3 exons. Lineage: Eukaryota; Metazoa; Chordata; Mammalia; Rodentia; Muridae. The record is from RefSeq and is a predicted model, not a curated record.
UGAAAAUUCUUGAUGCUGGUGACGUACCUGCCUGUAUCUGAUGACAAAGAAAAUGAACUGCUACAGGAAACUCUUCAGAUAAUGUCUAAAAGCAGAAAAUACAUGAAAGAAGACUUUGUAGAUCAAGAUCUCUUCAGCACAUAUUGUCUCAGAGCUGUACUCUGAAGAUGAUACCUACAAUGAUGAUUUGGAGUCAUUAUAGAUGGUGCCAUCUCUUCUACCAGAAGCUUCAUGAAAAUAGUCUUCAUUAGGCAUGCUGAUGCCUCUCUCCUGUAUGCAGAAUACACUACCUGCAGAUAAGAAAUUCUUAACUGAGAAAUGCUCAUGUUGGGAUAUCAUCAAUGAGACUUUAAUUUGGGCAUGGUGACUGUUUCCCUUGCUGCCACUUGACUCAA